UGGGGAAUUUUCCGCAAUGGGCGGAAGCCUGACGGAGCAAUACCGCGUGAGGGAAGAAUGCCUAUGGGUUGUAAACCUCUUUUUUCAGGGAGGAAUAAAAUGACGUGUACCUGAAGAAUAAGCACCGGCUAACUCCGUGCCAGCAGCCGCGGUAAGACGGAGGGUGCAAGUGUUAUCCGGAAUUACUGGGCGUAAAGCGUCUGUAGGUGGUUUAGUAAGUCAACUGUUAAAUCUUGAGGCUCAACUUCAAAUCAGCAGUCGAAACUAUUAGACUAGAGUAUAGUAGGGGUAAAGGGAAUUUCCAGUGGAGCGGUGAAAUGCGUAGAUAUUGGAAAGAACACCGAUGGCGAAGGCACUUUACUGGGCUAUUACUAACACUCAGAGACGAAAGCUAGGGUAGCAAAUGGGAUUAGAUACCCCAGUAGUCCUAGCUGUAAACAAUGGAUACUAGAUGUUGAACAGAUCGACCUGUGCAGUAUCAAAGCUAACGCGUUAAGUAUCCCGCCUGGGAAGUAUGCUCGCAAGAGUG
Molecule: ribosomal RNA, 529 nt
Filed under: uncultured bacterium
Lineage: Bacteria
Description: bacterial SSU rRNA
Rfam family: Bacterial small subunit ribosomal RNA
Source: RNAcentral